AGGAGAGCGAACUUCCUUUAGAUGAGCUCCUUGCUAGGUAUAAAGAGGAUUUUGAUACUGAUGAAUAUGUUGACGAUGAUUCUGAAUCAUAUGCGUCUGCUUCUGAUGAACUCCUGGAUUCUCCAGCACACAAUGAAUCUGAACCUGUUCGAGUAAACGAUGUACCAUGCGAUGUACUGCCCACUACAGUCGCUGAGGAUGGAGAA
This 206-nucleotide unclassified non-coding RNA is filed under the name Hevea brasiliensis (rubber tree). The record is from RNAcentral. Lineage: Eukaryota; Viridiplantae; Streptophyta; Magnoliopsida; Malpighiales; Euphorbiaceae.